This 258-nucleotide ribosomal RNA is filed under the name uncultured bacterium. Its description in RNAcentral is "partial 16S ribosomal RNA". It matches the Rfam family "Bacterial small subunit ribosomal RNA", at positions 793 to 1055 of the family's 1533-position model. The record is from RNAcentral.
GUCCACGCCGUAACGAUGGGUGCUAGGUGUGGGCAGUGUCGACUCUGUCUGUGCCGAAGCUAACGCAUUAAGCACCCGCCUGGGAGUACGGCCGCAAGGCUAAACUCAAAGGAAUUGACGGGGCCCGCACAAGCAGCGGAGCAUGUGGUUUAAUUCGAAGCGACGCGAAGAACCUUACCAGGGCUUGACAUGCAUGGGAAUGUCGUAGAGAUACGGCAGCCCUUCGGGGCUCAUGUGCAGGUGGUGCAUGGCUGUCGU